RNAcentral lists this ribosomal RNA (541 nucleotides) under uncultured bacterium. RNAcentral's name for it is "bacterial SSU rRNA". It matches the Rfam family "Bacterial small subunit ribosomal RNA", at positions 778 to 1314 of the family's 1533-position model. The record is from RNAcentral.
AUAGAUACCCCGGUAGUCCACGCCGUAAACGGUGGGUACUAGGUGUGGGUUUCCUUCCUUUAGGGAUCCGUGCCGUAGCUAACGCAUUAAGUACCCCGCCUGGGGAGUACGGCCGCAAGGCUAGAACUCGAAAGGAAUUGACGGGGGCCCGCACAAGCGGCGGAGCAUGUGGAUUAAUUCGAUGCAACGCGAAGAACCUUACCUGGGUUUGACAUGCACAGGACGCCGGUAGAGAUAUCGGUUCCCUUGUGGCCUGUGUGCAGGUGGUGCAUGGCUGUCGUCAGCUCGUGUCGUGAGAUGUUGGGUUAAGUCCCGCAACGAGCGCAACCCUUGUCUCAUGUUGCCAGCACGUUAUGGUGGGGACUCGUGAGAGACUGCCGGGGUCAACUCGGAGGAAGGUGGGGAUGACAUCAAGUCAUCAUGCCCCUUAUGUCCAGGGCUUCACACAUGCUACAAUGGCCGGUACAAAGGGCUGCGAUCCCGUGAGGGUUAGCGAAUCCUUUAAAGCCGGUCUCAGUUCGGAUUGGGGUCUGCAACUCCG